UUAUAAGGAACCAAUGAUAACCCAUCUGUUGUAGUUUGAAUAGGCAUGGCUCCCAUAGACUCAUGUGUUUGAAUGCUUGGCCUAUAAGGAGUGGCACUAUUAGGAGGUGUGGCCUUGUUGGAGUAAAUAUGGCAUUUCUGGAGGAAGUGUGUCACUGUUGGGGCAGGCUUUGAGGUCUUAUAAGCUCAAGCCUGGCCAGUGUUUCUCAGUGUUCCUUCUGCUGCCUGUAGAUCAAGAUGUAGGAUUCUCAGUUCCUUCUCCAGCACCGUGUCUGCCUGCACACCACCAUGUCCCACUACGACCAUAAUGGACUGAACCUCUGAACUGAAGAAAAGAAACCAAGUCAAAGACACCCUCAAAUACCCUAUAGGACCAGACAUGUUCCGAGUGACCGCUAACAUUGCUGUUCUGGUAGGCUCUGAACCCAGAACAGCAGGAAAUGACACAUUUCAGUUGGUGCAAGUGACACAAGAAGAAAUGAAAUGCUCCCCACCCACAUCUAGAGACUCUGUCUAUCAUACCAUUGCAAACCUGUGGACCCUGAUCAGAACGGACAUGCAGGAAGGACCAAGCACGAUGUACAAAUGGAGAGAAGCACACAGGAGCAUGGCAGACUUGAAACAGAGAGAACACAGUGUGAUAUGAGCUCAGCGUGCAAACAAGAACAAAACUGGUGUGGGCUGUGGAAGCCCUGCGGUUAAACGCUUUGACCUUGCCUUUUCAAUAUUCAACCUGGGAAAACGGAGAACAACAAUGUCAUAUUUGGGUCCUGAAACUUCAGGUUCACACCAACCUAGUCGAUAAUUCAUGUGGCUCUUUGGCUCUUUCUAUAAAGCACAUUAUUUAAGCGCG
Mesocricetus auratus (golden hamster) is the source of this 852-nucleotide long non-coding RNA. RefSeq lists it as uncharacterized. The transcript has 3 exons. NCBI's taxonomy places the organism in Eukaryota, Metazoa, Chordata, Mammalia, Rodentia, Cricetidae. The record is from RefSeq and is a predicted model, not a curated record.